UACGAAGGGGGCUAGCGUUGCUCGGAAUCACUGGGCGUAAAGCGCACGUAGGCGGAUUUGUAAGUCAGGGGUGAAAUCCCGGGGCUCAACCUCGGAACUGCCUUUGAUACUGCAAAUCUCGAGUCCGGAAGAGGUGAGUGGAAUUCCUAGUGUAGAGGUGGAAUUCGUAGAUAUUAGGAAGAACACCAGUGGCGAAGGCGGCUCACUGGUCCGGUACUGACGCUGAGGUGCGAAAGCGUGGGGAGCAAACAGG
This 253-nucleotide ribosomal RNA is filed under the name uncultured bacterium. RNAcentral describes it as "partial 16S ribosomal RNA". It matches the Rfam family "Bacterial small subunit ribosomal RNA", at positions 524 to 776 of the family's 1533-position model. The record is from RNAcentral.